RNAcentral lists this ribosomal RNA (253 nucleotides) under uncultured bacterium. Its description in RNAcentral is "partial 16S ribosomal RNA". It matches the Rfam family "Bacterial small subunit ribosomal RNA", at positions 524 to 776 of the family's 1533-position model. The record is from RNAcentral.
UACGGGGGGAGCAAGCGUUGUUCGGAUUUACUGGGCGUAAAGGGCGUGUAGGCGGCCAGAUAGGUCCGUUGUGAAAACUCGAGGCUCAACCUCGAGAUGUCGACGGAAACCAUCUGGCUAGAGUCCGGAAGAGGAGAGUGGAAUUCCCGGUGUAGCGGUGAAAUGCGCAGAUAUCGGGAAGAACACCCGUGGCGAAGGCGGCUCUCUGGGACGGUACUGACGCUGAGACGCGAAAGCGUGGGGAGCGAACAGG